GUGGGGAAUCUUGCGCAAUGGGCGAAAGCCUGACGCAGCCAUGCCGCGUGAAUGAUGAAGGUCUUAGGAUUGUAAAAUUCUUUCACCGGGGACGAUAAUGACGGUACCCGGAGAAGAAGCCCCGGCUAACUUCGUGCCAGCAGCCGCGGUAAUACGAAGGGGGCUAGCGUUGCUCGGAAUUACUGGGCGGAAAGGGCGCGUAGGCGGACAGUUUAGUCAGAGGUGAAAGCCCAGGGCUCAACCUUGGAAUUGCCUUUGAUACUGGCUGUCUUGAGUUUGGGAGAGGUGAGUGGAACUCCGAGUGUAGAGGUGAAAUUCGUAGAUAUUCGGAAGAACACCAGUGGCGAAGGCGACUCACUGGCCCAAUACUGACGCUGAGGCGCGAAAGCGUGGGGAGCAAACAGGAUUAGAAACCCUAGUAGUCC
Molecule: ribosomal RNA, 425 nt
Filed under: uncultured bacterium
Lineage: Bacteria
Description: partial 16S ribosomal RNA
Rfam family: Bacterial small subunit ribosomal RNA
Source: RNAcentral